RNAcentral lists this long non-coding RNA (1224 nucleotides) under Calidris pygmaea (Spoon-billed sandpiper). RNAcentral's name for it is "lncRNA (ENSCPGG00000015537.1)". The record is from RNAcentral. Lineage: Eukaryota; Metazoa; Chordata; Aves; Charadriiformes; Scolopacidae.
GUGUUAACUUGCAUCCUAAACAAAAGUUAUACUAUAAAUAAAAUUUCUUACAUAGGAAGAAAGUUUAUUGCACUUAUUGUAUGUUCUUCUUCAUCAGAUCAAAGGAAUAAUUCGAGUGAGGCUGUGGAAGAGCUGAGAUAUCGCUGCUCUCUUAAGAUUGCUCUGGAUAUUUUGAAUCAAAAUAUCUCCCCCAGGGAAGUGCCACCUUCAGAAGGACUGAAAUCCCAGUUAUCCCGGGAGAACAACGCGGGAUCUCUCUCAUCUACACCCUUACAGAGAUGUCGAUUGCUCUGUCGCUCUAAAGAAGAGUCAGUGCCUGAGACUUCCAAGAAGAAAAGAGAACAGAAAAAUGCCAGCCUGAAGACUGAUGCAAAACCCCAAACCCAGGACGCUUCCUUCCUCCUGGAGGAGGGUGCUAAAGCGCAUGAAAGAGGAACCAACACUACCACAUGUAAUACGUCAGACUCAGACAAUCAAAACUGCAAAAUACCAGAAUCAAAACCCCUCCCAAGGCUGAAGAAAAUCAAGCCCGUAUCGUUGACAAAGUUCCAAACAGGAAAUAAAGAUCCCCUUACGCCAAAGGAGGAAAAAAGUGAGCAAGGAAGGAAAAGCCGAAGAGACGCGGUGUCAGCUCUGUCGCGAAUGAACCGUUUCCCUGGGGAUGAAGCCCAGCCCCGGGCUGAGGAGGGAUCUCCGCUGCCCGUCCCCUGCGAGGCUGGUACGGAGGUGCCUCUCAAAAGGGCCAACACCAGGAAUCAGCCCAGAAGGACGCUACUGGCUUCCUCUUGUAAAAGUGCCUCAGAUAACUUGGAAAAAAGCAUCAGUAGCGAGAGCGAAAGUCUAGCGAAGCAGCUGGGCAGAAGAAAACAGCCAGCUGGCUUGAAACGGGUUAACAGGGAACAAGAGACUCUGUCCUCCUACAGAAAAAGGAGGUGCAGGAAUUGUCCUGAAUCUUCAUCUGGGCCCUCUAACCGUGAGCUGCUUUCUGAGAGCGUCACCUCCCAGCGUGAGGAGCAGGAAAAUAAGAACAUUUUGCACCCGGUUAUGGAUAAAGUAACUGCCUUUCAGCUGCCUGACUUCGAGGAAGAUGAAGGUGGGCAUAGCGCCUGGGGGUGGGAGAACUUCAUCCCCUUUGGUGGUCAGGCACGGUUAUUCACCUUGGGGUGUUGCAUUGCUUUUGCGUAUGAGGUUCUUAAAUUGCUGAUUUUAAUUCUGUUUCUUUAA